Molecule: ribosomal RNA, 191 nt
Filed under: Spirochaeta isovalerica
Lineage: Bacteria; Pseudomonadati; Spirochaetota; Spirochaetia; Spirochaetales; Spirochaetaceae
Description: Bacterial small subunit ribosomal RNA
Rfam family: Bacterial small subunit ribosomal RNA
Source: Rfam by way of RNAcentral
CGCAUCAGCAUGGCGCGGUGAAUACGUUCCCGGGCCUUGUACACACCGCCCGUCACACCACCCGAGUUGGGGGUACCCGAAGUCGCUAGUCUAACUUGCAAAAGAGGACGGCGCCGAAGGUAUGCCUGGUAAGGGGGGUGAAGUCGUAACAAGGUAGCCGUACUGGAAAGUGCGGCUGGAUCACCUCCUUU